UGCGCGCCGCGCCGCCGGCGCGCUGCGCAUGCGCGGAGCGGCGAGUCCCGGGGAGGUCGGCCCUUCCCGGCCCGGCGGGAUUGGCAUGGGGAUAACGCGGGACUGGCACGGGGAUAACGCGGGACUGGCACAGGGAUAACGCGGGAUUGGCACAGGGAUAACGCGGCACUGGCACAGGGAUAACGCGGGAUUGGCACAGGGAUAACGCGGGACUGGCGCUGCUCGGCCUGGCGACCGGCUCCUUGGGCUUGAUAGCGGGUAGCGAAAGUCUUCUGUCUGCCCGUGCCUGGCUCGAGUAGGUGUGUUGCCCACAGGUUUGUUAACCGGCUGCUAAAGAUGCGUGGCCAGCAUUUCCUAAAACGAAAAAGUCUUUUGCCUAUAAAAAGAGUUUAUCUGAAUCGGGACUAAGCAAGGGCGUGGUGGGCAACUCUGAGCUCGAAAGUGAUACAAAUUUGGUAGUUAGGAUUGUAUGGAAGUGGAAGUGUAGGAGAAUGCUUGCCUCUAGCUAAUGCUGUGGAAAUGGCAGCUUUAGCGGGUGCUUGCCGUUUAUAGAAAUCAGGAAAAGCUGAGGAAAAAACCAAAAAUAUGUUUUGUUAGUGCAGCGUAUGCCUUGGCAUUUUCUUGUAAACAUGCAGUACUAUGGCUUGAAUUCACCACAUCCUGAGCUGCCCGUACUUGCCCAUGGAAUGCACCACUCCCUUUUAGACUUUCCUAGAGCAAGCUAUUGUCUCUUUAUCCUGGAAUUCAUCUUAAUUUGAUGCUUUCUGGCUGUACAAAGAAGGGCUCAUGCCUGAAGACAGGAGAGGGAAGGUUUUCAAGAUUAAAGGUGUCUGAAAUUAGUAGAGAAUGCAACUAUAGAAGGAACACUGUGAACGUGUGAAGAACCCAGACAGAUGGACUAAUGAAAGCUGUAGAGGAGAUUGGUUUCUGAGGCUGGAUUCUUGAAAUAAGCUGGGUAGAUGGAACCAGAAACUGUGGAUAGUGGGGUUCUUAAUUCAUAGCUCUCAUCAUACCAUAAAUACAUUCUUAAUUUGCAUGAGAUUGGAAGUAAUAGGUGUUGUCAGGCAGUCUUUAGCUCUGCCUUUCACCUGGGCCCAUACUAUUUAAGCACUGUCCAAUGCCUGACCAUCCAUUAUGCACAUUAUUAAUUGGAGGGCAAAAGAUUUUGGCCUUGUCAGCUCAUGACUGUUUUAUUUAUGGGACUAUAAGCACACUUAUUAAAGCAAUUUAUUUCAUGCUUUUCCCCUUAUGUUUCAGUAUAUUUUAGGCAAAGAGUACAAUGGGGUUUUAAAGUCUGCCUUUUUUGGGGGUAGGGGAUGUUUAUGAACUGCACAUCCUCUAAACAUGGAGCUUCAAUGGGAAGGAAAUGGCAAUCAGCCUCCUUCACUGAAGAAAUUAAUAAGCUGCUGUUUUGCUUCUCCAUUGUAAAAUUAAUAGUUAUCCAUUCAAUUUCCUCACUUCACCAUCUUCAAGUCCCUUAGACUUCUAAUAAGAAAAAAAAAUCUACAAUCAUACAGCAAACUGGUGUGUUUACCAUCCUUUCAAAAAUCUUAUCUAGUACAGCCUGUUUCUGAGAUAUUGGAAAGGUUUCACCUGGCUACACACAUCCAUUUGUUCUCUUGGAACUGCAGCUGUAGGGCCAUAGGCAGCACAGAGCAUAUCCACAUUCUUAGCAUUUUGUUCUCUGCACUCAAGCCCUUUUUUGAAGUUCAUGCAUAGAAAGAAAUGUUAACAAGGACACAGUUUCUGACAUCUGGUCUACCUCUAUGAAUUCCUUUCAUCUUGUGAAUGAAGAUUUGGGAAGGGCUCUACCCACGCUUGCUACAAGCGCACUGAUGGCUAAAAAGGCCAAUGCGAGAUAGACAAGUCCGGUAGCAGAAGGCACAGCAGAAAGACUCCCCAGGUGAUAUCGACGAGACGCGAUUCUUCCUGCGCUGUCUUUUCUCCUCGAGAGUGAUCCUGUGUGUGUUCUCAAAAGCAGCAGCAGCAGCGUUAUAGAUGGUGUGUCUCCAGGCCUCCCGACUGGAGGCCAGGGUAGACCAAUGGUGGGGAUCAAUAUGGCCAAGGCUAAGAUACUGUUUUAGGGAGUCCUUGUAUCUCCUCUUCAGGACUCCUCUCUUGCGGCAGCUGCUGCCGAUGAAUUCCUUUAUACUCAUGCCAUCUUUCAUGCAACUAUGAGAAUUUCAGUUUAAAAUGGAUCAUGGUAUCAUCAAGUCCUUCUGAGAAACAUAAAAUGUUGCUCUCUGGCAAGGUUUAAGGCUAGAUCUACAAAACUGAUAGAUAAUUUGCUGUAAGCAUGAAGUCAUAUUUUUGGACUGCUUUAGGAGUCAAAUUUAUUUUUAGAUGUAUUAAAACUCAUUUAUGUCUCUAAACUUUUUAUCUUUUAUGACAGUAUCAUUUAAGAAAGAAAACUAUAUUUGAGAUUCAAAAUACUGUAAUACAGAAACUUCAUAGCUAAUAUUUAGAAAUUGGAAGUUAUUUCUUGUGAAGUAGAUGCCUCAAAGAAGGAAACAGAAAACUUUCAAAGGAUAAGAUUCUUUUAAAACGAACUGAUUACUUAUGGUUAGCAAGAACUUGGAAGGUGUGAAAGUCACAUGGUUUCUAAUUGCAGUAUUUUGCAAAACAAAGUAACUGGUGAAUAUUCAGAACUCUUGAAGGUGGAGCUCAAAGAAUUAGUAAGCUUUCCUUUCCUAGGGUUUUUUGCAAGUUGAUGUACAUAUCUGCCUUAAGGAUGUGAAGCUCAUGGACAUAACUAGUUGAGCACGAAGGGACUUUUUACUCCAAGAAACCUAGAAUUGUACAAAGUGUGUAACAGAACUUUAAACUUCUCCUACCAGAAGCUAUACCAACUGUUGUGCUGGUGCAUUUGUUGUUUGUAAAAAGCAUAGUUUUCACUCAGUUCUGGUUUUGUUGGAUAUGCUUAUUAUAAUACAGUACUUGCAAAACAGGCUUAUGUUUAACUGUGGGAAAAUGGUGACUUAGCAUUCUUUCUAAUACUGUUCUGCAGAUCUUGUGUUAUUUUAUCAUGCUCGACGUGUAUUUAUUUUUUUCUUCUUUCUCCCCUUUGUUUUCUUUUCAAGCCUGGAAGCUUUGAGGCAAUUCAACAGAAAAUAGAGUUACUUUUUAACUACUUAAAAUGUUAAUGUAGGUACUGUUUCUAUUAACAUUGUCUCCCAAAUCUUUGCAUUGUUUAAAAAUACAUUGUUACAUCCAGCCACUCGA
Long non-coding RNA from Myiozetetes cayanensis, 3222 nucleotides. RefSeq lists it as uncharacterized. NCBI's taxonomy places the organism in Eukaryota, Metazoa, Chordata, Aves, Passeriformes, Tyrannidae. The record is from RefSeq and is a predicted model, not a curated record. The transcript has 2 exons.